CAUAUUCUCAAGUAAGUUUAUAUUUCCAGAUUUCCAGAGAAGUAAACAUUCUCCAAAGGUACUCUAACGAGCAGAUCCAUAGCAGAGUAGACCAAAUGGGUUUUUAUCUGCUCUACAUGCUGUCAGGCAGCCAAGAUUUAUCUCUUUACCUAGGAAAAUGGAAAAAUCAAUGUAAAAGAAGGAACAGGUUAAGUUUUAAGAGUAAAAAACCAAAGCUUUUCUCAUGUGUCCAUAAUUUGAUGCCAUUUUUCACAGAGGGUUUGUCCAUUCUGUCAGCAUCAGAGGAGCUGGUAAGUGCAGAAUUGGAAUGUGAAAAAUGUCAAGUGUGAUACAAGAACCCUUAAUGUAAGAGAAUCACAGAAUCACAGAGUGAACUGGGUUGGAAAAGAGCUUUGAGAUCAUCAAGUCUGACCUAUGACCUAAGACCUCAUCAACUAAACCCUGGCACUGAGUGCCAUGUCCAAGCUCUUUCUAAACUGUUCUGUUUGGAAAUAAACUUUUAAAACUUUUGACCUGUGAGUGAAACACUGGAAUUACGGAGCUGACUGAAAAAAAUUCCAAAUUUAGAAAUAAAAGCUGUUUUCUGGGUUUAAACCCACUUAUUGCUCUGAUAUGGAACAUUUUCAAGUUAUCUUUGCAGUCACAGGCGACAGAAUACUUUUGCCAAUGCUGAGACAUGGAAGCAAUGCAUGAUGCUGUCCUGGAUGCUCCUGGGAGUUGUGGCAGUAUGGGUUUGUUUAUAUUUACAAAUUAGUUGGACUUGUUCUUGGCACUUGUUUGGAUUUAGCUUAAGAAUAAUCCAUAUUGUCCAAAUAUCUUCCUAAUAAUAAAAACCCACAGUCGCUAUCAGAGCUGAAUUCCAAUAUUUCACUGCAAAGUAGCUGGAGAAGUAGCUAUUGCCUUAAAUAAAAAUCACAUUUUCCCAAA
This is a long non-coding RNA of Cyanistes caeruleus (blue tit), 927 nucleotides long. RefSeq lists it as uncharacterized. NCBI's taxonomy places the organism in Eukaryota, Metazoa, Chordata, Aves, Passeriformes, Paridae. The record is from RefSeq and is a predicted model, not a curated record.